This 459-nucleotide ribosomal RNA is filed under the name uncultured bacterium. RNAcentral's name for it is "partial 16S ribosomal RNA". It matches the Rfam family "Bacterial small subunit ribosomal RNA", at positions 338 to 795 of the family's 1533-position model. The record is from RNAcentral.
CCUACGGGGGGCAGCAGUGAGGAAUAUUGGUCAAUGGGCGAGAUCCUGAACCAGCCAAGUCGCGUGAGGGAAGACGGCCCUACGGGUUGUAAACCUCUUUUGUCGGAGAACAAAACGCGGGACGUGUCCCGGAUUGCGAGUACCCGAAGAAAAAGCAUCGGCUAACUCCGUGCCAGCAGCCGCGGUAAUACGGAGGAUGCGAGCGUUAUCCGGAUUUAUUGGGUUUAAAGGGUGCGUAGGCGGUCCUGUAAGUCAGCGGUAAAAUUGCGGGGCUCAACCCCGUCGUGCCGUUGAAACUGGAUGACUUGAGUGGGCGAGAAGUACGCGGAAUGCGCGGUGUAGCGGUGAAAUGCAUAGAUAUCACGCAGAACUCCGAUUGCGAAGGCAGCAUACCGGCGCCAAACUGACGCUGAGGCACGAAAGCGUGGGGAUCGAACAGGAUUAGAUACCCUUGUAGUC